This 250-nucleotide ribosomal RNA is filed under the name uncultured bacterium. Its description in RNAcentral is "partial 16S ribosomal RNA". It matches the Rfam family "Bacterial small subunit ribosomal RNA", at positions 28 to 273 of the family's 1533-position model. The record is from RNAcentral.
GACGAACGCUGGCGGCGCGCCUAACACAUGCAAGUCGAACGAGAGAGAAGGAGCUUGCUUCUUCGAUCGAGUGGCGAACGGGUGAGUAACGCGUGAGGAACCUGCCUCAAAGAGGGGGACAACAGUUGGAAACGACUGCUAAUACCGCAUAAGCCCACGGGUCGGCAUCGAUCUGAGGGAAAAGGAGUGAUCCGCUUUGAGAUGGCCUCGCGUCCGAUUAGCUAGUUGGUGAGGUAAUGGCCCACCAAGG